This 502-nucleotide ribosomal RNA is filed under the name uncultured Glomeromycotina. RNAcentral describes it as "partial small subunit ribosomal RNA". It matches the Rfam family "Eukaryotic small subunit ribosomal RNA", at positions 591 to 1092 of the family's 1831-position model. Lineage: Eukaryota; Fungi; Glomeromycota. The record is from RNAcentral.
CCAAUAGCGUAUAUUAAAGUUGUUGCAGUUAAAAAGCUCGUAGUUGAACUUCGGGGUUUACCCAUUGGUCAGGCUUAAUUGUCUGUACUGGUGAGAUAAAUCUCUACCUUCUGAGGAACUUUCAUGUCAUUAAUUUGGUGUGAUUGGAAAUCAGGACUGUUACUUUGAAAAAAUUAGAGUGUUUAAAGCAGGCUAACGUCUGAAUACAUUAGCAUGGAAUAAUGAAAUAGGACGGACUGAUUCUAUUUCGUUGGUUUCUAGGAUCACCGUAAUGAUUAAUAGGGAUUGUUGGGGGCAUUAGUAUUCAAUUGUCAGAGGUGAAAAUCUUGGAUUUAUUUAAGACUAACUACUGCGAAAGCAUUUGCCAAGGAUGUUUUCAUUAAUCAAGAACGAAAGUUAGGGGAUCGAAGACGAUCAGAUACCGUCGUAGUCUUAACCAUAAACUAUGCCGACUAGGGAUCGGACGAAGUUAAUUUUUUAAUGACGCGUUCGGCACCUUACG